RNAcentral lists this ribosomal RNA (507 nucleotides) under uncultured bacterium. RNAcentral describes it as "partial 16S ribosomal RNA". It matches the Rfam family "Bacterial small subunit ribosomal RNA", at positions 29 to 507 of the family's 1533-position model. The record is from RNAcentral.
ACGAACGCUGGCGGCGUGCCUAAUACAUGCAAGUCGAACGCUUCUUUCCUCCCGAGUGCUUGCACUCAAUUGGAAAGAGGAGUGGCGGACGGGUGAGUAACACGUGGGUAACCUACCCAUCAGAGGGGGAUAACACUUGGAAACAGGUGCUAAUACCGCAUAACAGUUUAUGCCGCAUGGCAUAAGAGUGAAAGGCGCUUUCGGGUGUCGCUGAUGGAUGGACCCGCGGUGCAUUAGCUAGUUGGUGAGGUAACGGCUCACCAAGGCCACGAUGCAUAGCCGACCUGGGAGGGUGAUCGGCCACACUGGGACUGAGACACGGCCCAGACUCCUACGGGAGGCAGCAGUAGGGAAUCUUCGGCAAUGGACGAAAGUCUGACCGAGCAACGCCGCGUGAGUGAAGAAGGUUUUCGGAUCGUAAAACUCUGUUGUUAGAGAAGAACAAGGACGUUAGUAACUGAACGUCCCCUGACGGUAUCUAACCAGAAAGCCACGGCUAACUACGUG